AUACGGAGGGUGCAAGCGUUAAUCGGAAUUACUGGGCGUAAAGCGCACGUAGGUGGUUCAUUAAGUCAGAUGUGAAAGCCCCGGGCUCAACCUGGGAACUGCAUUUGAAACUGGUGAGCUAGAGUAUGGUAGAGGUAAGUGGAAUUCCAGGUGUAGCGGUGAAAUGCGUAGAUAUCUGGAGGAACAUCAGUGGCGAAGGCGACUUACUGGACCAAUACUGACACUGAGGUGCGAAAGCGUGGGGAGCAAACAGGAUUAGAAACCCCAGUAGUCC
This 274-nucleotide ribosomal RNA is filed under the name uncultured bacterium. RNAcentral describes it as "partial 16S ribosomal RNA". It matches the Rfam family "Bacterial small subunit ribosomal RNA", at positions 523 to 796 of the family's 1533-position model. The record is from RNAcentral.